Molecule: non-coding RNA, 7217 nt
Organism: Odocoileus virginianus texanus
Lineage: Eukaryota; Metazoa; Chordata; Mammalia; Artiodactyla; Cervidae
Source: RefSeq, a predicted model, not a curated record
GCAGGUGGCGGAGCGUGUGAUGGGGGCUGCUCUGCUGGGCCCCCCGCAUCACUGUGUGCCCUCUCUUUUCCAGUGUUUGUGGGCUAUCUGUGCAUCGUGCUGCUCAUGCUGCUGCUGCUCAUCUUCUGGAUUGCACCGGCCCAUGGGCCCACCAACAUCAUGGUCUACAUCAGCAUCUGCUCCUUGCUGGGGAGUUUCACCGUGCCUUCCACCAAGGGCAUUGGGCUGGCUGCCCAAGACAUCUUCCACAACAACCCGUCUAGUCAGCGGGCCCUCUGCCUGUGUCUGGUGCUCCUGGCCGUGCUUGGCUGCAGCAUCAUCGUCCAGUUCAGGUACAUCAACAAGGCCCUUGAGUGCUUCGACUCCUCUGUGUUUGGGGCCAUCUACUAUGUUGUGUUCACCACACUGGUCUUGCUGGCCUCAGCCAUCCUCUUCCGGGAGUGGAGCAACGUGGGUCUGGUGGACUUCUUGGGCAUGGCCUGUGGGUUCACCACUGUCUCCGUUGGAAUUGUCCUUAUACAGGUGUUCAAAGAGUUCAACUUCAACCUGGGGGAGAUGAACAAAUCUAAUGUGAAAACAGACUAGGAUGUAACAGGAAAUUGUAUGGCUUGAGGAACAGAAAGAAGAUACGGUCUCUGGUCCUAAUUUGAUGUGAAGAAGAAAAGUAAAUUUACACAAGUACAUCGCUUGUGUUGGAGUUGCUUGUAUAUGAUGAAUAGGCUGGUGGAGAAUGAGGAUGCGUUGCUUAGCACUGGAGUGUGGACUCAGCCUUCUGUUCACUGAAGUUGCUCAGUGGUUGCCUGAGUGUCAUCUCUCUCUGAUGAGAGGAAUCUUAUGUUCAUUGCCAUUAACCUGGAAGCUUUGAUGAAUACUCUUUGCUUUUAAAACACUAUCAUUAUUUAAAUAGAAUGGGCCUAUUCUGGUUAGUGUUUGCAGGGGAACAGAUGUUCUUAUUUAGAAGCUUACUUUGGAAAUAGGAGAAAGUGUUGUCUUGAAGUCUGACUUUACAGUAAAUGUGUGUCUUUAGUCUUGUUAUUUUGCAUUAAGCAUGUAUAAAAUUCAGGUGUUCCAUCCAAAUCAGAGGUAUAUACAUUUAAUUGUUUUUAAUCCUCUGAUGUGUUGACUCUCCUACCCCUGACUCCUAGACAUUUUAAUUGGAAACAGAGAGAGAAGAGUGGAUACCAUAUACUGUUCCAUUUGCAGGAUGAUUUUCAGUAGCUCAAAUCAAUUUCAGUGCCUUUAUCACUUGAACUAUUCACUUAAUUUGACUAUUACUGUGUGUCUGUUCUCUUAGAUUAGAAUAAUGCAACUUCCAUGAUUAUACUUUAGUAUUUCACUAUUCAAACUAUAAAUGUUCAAAGCAGUUAUAAAUUAUAGUAUAUUAUUUAUUGGAAGAGAAUCAAGAUGAAAGACACAUUAGAGUAAGUUGACCCUUUCAGCAUGUGUUAUAGUCCAAUUAAAGACAAUUGAAUAAGUAGCAUGAGGUAUUUUAUUUGUAUUCAGUCUAAUAUAACUGGGAUCCAGUAUUAAAUUUACCUAUGUUCUCAUUCAGUAAACAUUGUGGCCACUAAGAAGAAAUUAUUUAACUUGAUAAUAAGGCUGUUAAAUGAGAGAGUUAACUGUUAAGUGGCACAUAUGAGUUCAGGAACAAGUUAAAGGACGCAAUUAAGCUUAAGUUUUUUUGUUUUUUGUUUUUGCUACAAGUUGGAACACACAUAGUUUUAGAAAGAAUUUCUAACAAAAAUGAAAACAGUUUAACCAUCUCCCUGUUGUUUGAGAUGACAAAGCACUCUGCAGUCCCUCACCCAAUCUCUCAUUAAACUUCUGAAAUGCAAAAUAGCCAUUAAUGAUCCCAGUAUUUGGAUCAAAAGAGGUCAUUUGCCUGUCUAUAGUAAUCUUCCCUGUGUAUGAAAUAGUAACAAAGCACAGAGUGAUGCAAAUAUUCAUCAAGGUAUCAUAUACUUCAUCUGCAAUACUGUUCUCCCCAUCCCACUCUGUGAGGCAUGUGGGGUUUUCCUACCAGGGAUUGAAACGGUGCCCCAUGCAGUGGAAGUGCAGUCUUAACCACUGGACCACCAGGAAAGUCCUAAGGGCAGUGUUUUGUCUAAAUAGGGAACUAAGCCAAGUUGAAAGAUGGGAUUGAGUAAGGUGAUGGGAUUGACUUGGUGAAGUAGAACAAAGAAUUUAAUAAUACCCAGUUAAAAUUACUAAGGAAUGUCAAUAGAAAAAAAUGUAUUUUUUUUAUAUGAAACGAACAUUUCUAAAGACCUGAGGGAUAGCUUCCUAAAGUGUUGAAUAAAGAGGCUAAAUAAAACAAGGAUAGAGCAAAAAACACCCCUGUGAAUUAAAAGUACAUUGGAUGAUCAUGAGUUGUCAGUGAGCUGUGAACUAACAGCAGCAAGAGUAUUUUAAAAAUUUUCUAAAUCUUAUAGUAACUGAUAGUUAAUAAAUGCUCCCAGCAUUUACUGAUAGUAAAAUGCUCCCAGAAAUCCAUUACUCUUUUUAUCAACUCUUGAAGGUUUGUUUUUUAUCAUCAGUAUUUUUAGGAAUACAGGCCUUAAUUUAUUGAACUGAAUUUUCUAAAAAUGGAGGUGUAUAAAUAUACUUUUCAGCAUAAAAAUAGUUUCCUAGGUAAGGAGUUGAGAUAUUCAAAAAAUACAUGUGACUAUACAAGUAUCAUAAGAAAGUUAUGGAAAUUACCUUUUUCUUUUUUUUUUGGUUGCAGUUUCCAUGUGAAGCUUAGUUUAUUUAAAUCCAUCUAUUGAUGUUCCUGGUUGCAGUUAAUCUGUGUAUUCCAUAGACACUUAAAGGUGAUAUUUUCUGGAUUAUCUCCCUAUGAUUUUUUUUUUUUAGUAAAAUAAAAUCUCAAAGUAUAAACAACUUGUCAUCUCUUGAAGGUGAUAAGCCCCAAAACAGUUAGACUCUUCCAAAUUUAUAUCUGUUUAGCAGAUAACUUUGGUAGGAUGCACAGCUUUUCUUCCACUGGAAUGCAAUUCAUACCAUCCAUUGUAUUCCAAGUGUGACUGUAGCCUGGAAGUAAUUGACAUGACUAGCAGUCUAACAGCCUACUUUUGACAUAGAGCAUAUAACUUCUGACUUACAGUACUUAUUUUACAAAUCUGUGUUUUUAUAAUUUAUUUGGAAUUUAAAAAAAUAAAAGCUUUAAAGAGAAAGGCCCAGAAUGGGGAUAGGUCUUACAGUGAUCUUUUCAAAAGUAAACAUUUUCCUUAUUAUGCUAUUCUCUGGGUUUUAUCUUUGAUAAAACUAAGGAAAAAAAUUGUCCACUUGUUUUCAAGCCUCCUGUAAAAUUGUAUGUUUGUGAUCAAAACUUGCACAUUUACCUGGAUAGAUACCUAAAUAGGCCAUUUCUCUCCUCUCUUAGUUGGACAAUGCCUUGUUUUCUCCUCUGAAUCUUUGCAUUUAAAAAGACUGCUUCCUGUUCUGCUCAGUGGUUAAGUGUAUAUGGCCUAUUAAGGAUUCUAACCCAAACCCAGCACCAAGAUCACCCUGAGUGUUUUGCUGUUCUAUAGGACUACUCCACCUCUGCAGAGAAGAAUCCAGAAAGAAAGGGCAGUCUCCCUGCUGCCACAUGGGGAGCAAGAACUCCCCACAGGUGGGUCUUCAGGGGGUAUCAUCGCUCAGAUGUUAUUAUGGUCUUUUCACAUUAGAAAGUUAGUGAAAUACACUUUGCUGCUCUUGCUUCAGCAAUAAGAAAUAUUCUUUCAAGUCCUACUUUUCAAGCCAGUUUGUUAUAUGCAGUUUUAUUUCCAGAAGUUGAUUCUAGCUGUGCUCAAUAGAAUGGGUUUUUCUUUGGGUUUCUCAUCUGAUAGAAGAAAGUACUAUUGAAGUAGGCAGUCACCUCUCAUCUUCCUUCUUCAUUGACCUCUCAGCUCUUUGUAAAUACUGUGCUCACUUUCUAGAGGCCAGUUCCUAGACUGUAGUUCCUAGAUCUGUAAAGUGCUUGAGAUGCACUGUCUGUAGGCCUGGAUGAGUUCACGGAGACUGAGGUAUUUGUUGGUCACAGGCUACUGUCAUGCUGCCUAAUUCUUGUUAGGAGAUGACAGCUCUCUUUUCUGAGCGUCUCAACUAACCCAGAAGAGCAAUCUGCAGAGCUCUGCCCAUCACUCUUCUUUGAUGCCUACUUGAUCCUGACUUAGAAUUCCUGGGACUGAGUAGGAACCUGCAAAGAGAAGAAGCAUUAGUUUAGAUCUGUUCACAACUGACCAGUUGGCUCCAGUGGUCUGAUGAAGUUGUCCUUACUGUGUCUGACACCAUGGAAAUAGUUCACCCAUCAAGCAGGAUUUGAUGGAAUCUUGGUGUUCUACCUUCUCAGGGACCAAAAACGUAACAUUAACUCCUUAGCAUUGACCUUCCUCUCAAAGACAUGUCUGUGUUAUUGAUAGUUUUUUCAUAUGUUUUACUCAUAGCUGUAGCUAGAGGUCUGUUAGUUUGAGUUAGGAAGAGAAAGACCAGUUUGUACACCAGUCACACCAUAAAACAGUUUAUCAUAUAAAAUACCUCAACUUUCUGUAUUCCUCACCUCCGCCUCAAAGUUGUACUGGUGAUGAAUUUUGAGGGUUUAUCCUUAAGCUUAUAGGUGAGUUUUCACAUCUGGCCAGAUUCUUAUACCUCCAUCAUAUACUUGAAUAGAUUAAGAAAUAUAGGAACGGGAACAAGAAUUUGGCCCAACUUCACAACUCAUUUACUUUCAUAGUAUUUCUCACAUGUGGUUAAAUGCAACAAAAGAAUUAUAUUUUAAAAAAGUGUAACUUUCUGUUACAUCAAAAAAUACUGUCUAGUGAAAAGUUGAUAUUCAGUAGAACAAUGAUCAUGUAAAUAAGCAUCUAUUUCAAAUGUACCCAAUAUGAAAAAAAGCAUAGUUUAGGCCCCAGAGCAUGAGCCGGGAGGAUUUAUUUGUUCUUUUUUCUAUUUUCCUCUGAAUUGUGCAACUGUAGGUGAGUCACUUAACCUUUCUGUGCCUCAGUUUCUCUACCUCUAAAGGGUGGGAUGGGUCUCCGUGUCUGUGUUAGAGCACUUGCAUGUUUAGCUUAUGCUGGUCACCUCAGACCAGAGCGCAUGGACAGGACCCCUUGGGAGUGAUGGACUGGGCAUCCCGUCUGCUCAGGACCAUGCUGUAGACACGCAACUUCAAGCACUGAGUAAGCAGAGGAAGCGCUGGGUGUAAAGCUUGCAUGAGUUUACGAAGCUUUAAUUUUCCUUUAGUUUUUUGUUUUAAAAAGAAGGGUUUUAUAUAUUGUUGUAAAAUAUGGAAGUUAAACAAAGACUUUAAAAAGCUGCACUGAGAGAUCACAUUCUGAUGGUGUAAUGAGCUUCUCUGACAUUCCACAAAGGUGUAUGUUCUGCAGAAGAAUCAAUGACCUGUAAACCAGAUUAAUUCUGUUGUGUUGAAUUUGUAAUGGGUGAUGCUGAACUUCCUGCUUCCAAGUGGCUCAACCCUGACCAUGAACUACCUGACACCAGCUGAAUGUCAGGAACUCCCAAACCAUUAGUGCCAAAGGGUCACACUGAAAAGCGCAGAAUCUCUUUCAUUUGUCAGACCGUAAUAAUUUGCCCCCAACCCCAACCUCAUGUCAGUGUUUUUACACUUUGGAAAAAUUUAAGAGUACUGUUUUUCAGUAGAAUUCCUGAGUGUUUUUGCCUCUUUAAAUAACUUUCUUGUAAAAUGGAAUAUAAUUGUGAAAGAGGAAUAAAACUAGAUAAAAAUGUAAAAUGUUGGUUGGUUGCGUAAAAUCUUUUUCAUGUAAAUGUAUCAGAAGAGCUUCCAAUUAGUACACACACAUAUUUGUCAAUGACUAAUACUUGCUUAUAUUCUGCUUUAUAGAAGUAGUCAUAGCAUGUUGUAAUUGCCUUAUGUAAAUAAAAGGCUAUUUAUUAAGUUUUCCAAUAAUAUUUAUUAAUAUGUAUGUGUUUUAAAAUAAAAUAACUUAUUUCUAGCUGAACUCUCGUUGCUUUUUUGCCCUUUACAUGAGAAGUUUGUGUGGUCUCAGGUUCCAUAUCAUCUUGAUUUCUCAAUCAGAUGCUUCCCAUUUUCUUCAUAGAAACGGAUAGCCCAGGUCUCCAUCAGGAUGUAGAAAAUGUCCACUCAUGCAUAUCUUAGGAAGCAAAACUAUGAUGAGUGAAGAAAUUUACCACUGAGAGACUACCUUCUGAUACAAUGAAAUGAUGUAUUAAAGAAAACCAUUUGUAUUUUAAUAUGUUAAUGUCUUUUACAUGUUUCUGAGGUAUAUAACAUGUAACACAUUUUAAAUACAUGGAAAAUUUGAGAAUCAUAACACAUUUUAAUACUCUGUCAUCAAAAAUCUUGUCACUAAUCUUUAUGUGUCCUAAAGUAAUUUUAUUAAAUUAUUAAAUUAAAAAAAUUUUGAGCAAAAUACCUUUCCUUAGGCUCUAUCCAAAAAGAUUUAAUUACUCACAUUUUGAUCAUAGUAUAUCUGUACAGAAAUAAGGAAAUAACAUUUUAAGAAACCACCAAAUGGAUAACCCUUUCUUCAUAGGUUUUUGGGAUGAAAUGUGUGCCAAAUUCUUCAAAAACUUGCCUGGGUUGGUUACUAUUAAAAAACUGUUAGUCGUAGCUGGUAGCCAAGUAUACUACUAUUGAACCUGAGCUCUAUAUCUGAUUCUGAGGAGUACAGAAAAUCAGAUGUGCUCCCCACUUUCCACUUCCUCUGUUGAUGAGUUAUGUCCCUGUCAGUUGACCUUUAGACAUCACAUGCCAGCAUCUUUGAUGUAAUAUUAAUCACACCAUAUUUUUAACCUCAUAUCAUAGGUAGUUUCAAAAAGAUUUUUUGUUUUGGAAAGCUGAGGCACAGUCAAGAAAUAGAGAAAUAAAAAGAUACCUGUAUCUAUAUUAGCAGUUCAAAGAAAAGAGGUAUUAAUUCCAGCUGAAGAAAUUUAUAAGUGUGGGGUUUGGAACUGUGCCAUGGCAAGCAGGAUAGGAGAGAUGCCAAUCAAGUAACAAACACAACAGAUCCAUGUAAAAUAAUUGAGAUAACGGGCUGGAAGGUGGAGGAAGUUCAAAUUAGGUUGUCUGUUUAUAAAAUGGAAUCGUUUUAUUUUGGGCAAAGAUGUCUGGAGGAUCUCAGUGUUCCUCCCCUAUUUUGGCAUGUUUAUUCACUAUUGGUUUUCUAUUGCUGCUCUAACAAAUUACCACAAACUUUGUGGUUUACAACUACACAAACUUAUAGUUUGUGAGGGUC